GAAAUUAAUACACAUAAUUAAUUAUAUCGCAAACUUCAAUUGUUGGAAUUUUAUGAUCCUGUAAAAGAAUAUAGAUAUAUUUCACCCAAUCUUCAUAUUAUUUUGUUUCAAAAGAUGUAAAGGUUAUUUUGAGAGAUUCUCCCAACUUUUGGUUGAGCCCUAAACCCACCGGUGACUUGUUUCCUUCUGGAAGGUGCAACACUCAAACUAGCGAUGAAGUAGACCAACAGCAGAUGGCUGUAUCUGUGUGUUUCCAGCUUCAAUAUGUAGCUGGUCUCAGGACGCUUCCUAAAUGGUGCCAUAUUCUCUAUAUAGUGCACUUCUUUUGAUCAGGGCCCAUAGAUAAUAGGAUGCUAUUUGGGACUCCACCUCAGUGAUUAAAUCUGCUCUGGUGUUUACAGGCCUCAUCACACACAGUCAGAUUAAAGGUGUUUACAGGCCUCAUCACACACAGUCAGAUUAAAGGUGUUUACAGGCCUCAUCACACAUUCAGAUUAAAGGUGUUUACAGGCCUCAUCACACACAGUCAGAUUAAAGGUGUUUACAGGCCUCAUCACAUUCAGAUUAAAGGUGUUUACAGGCCUCAUCACACAGUCAGAUUAAAGGUGUUUACAGGCCUCAUCACACAGUCAGAUUAAAGGUGUUUACAGGCCUCAUCACACAGUCAGAUUAAAGGUGUUUACAGGCCUCAUCACAGUCAGAUUAAAGGUGUUUACAGGCCUCA
Molecule: long non-coding RNA, 724 nt
Filed under: Salmo salar (Atlantic salmon)
Lineage: Eukaryota; Metazoa; Chordata; Actinopteri; Salmoniformes; Salmonidae
Description: lncRNA (ENSSSAG00000110448.1)
Source: RNAcentral